Molecule: long non-coding RNA, 437 nt
Organism: Rhagoletis zephyria (snowberry fruit fly)
Lineage: Eukaryota; Metazoa; Arthropoda; Insecta; Diptera; Tephritidae
Source: RefSeq, a predicted model, not a curated record
GCAGUUUCUCAUUAUAUGAUUAGAAUAUUAUAUUGCUAGGUGUAAACAUCUCAUUAUUGUAUAAAACGUGUAAUGUAAAGUUUAGUCUGGCAAUGCUUUUAUGUAAAGUUUAGUCUGGCAAUGUUUCUAUAUAAAGCCGUCUGGCAAUGCUUUUAUGUUUUGACAGUUCUAUACAAGGCGCAUCCAGUUUGUUUGUCCUUUUGCAUAUUCCUAUACGAAUGGCUAUAAAAGCGAACACUUUGUUCAUAAUUGUUCAUUUCCAUUUGGUGAUCGGCGGUGAGCAGACCACUCGCAUAUAGCUACCUUGGCAGUGUGGACAACGAUAGUUGGCCGCUGCUAAGCUGUUAUCUGCUUGCAUAUCUGUAUUCGCAGUGUGGACAACGUUAUACUUUUAAUAUUAAAUUUUGUGCAAAGACUUGUUUCGACCAUUCUUUAAA